GCGGCGUGCUUCAUACAUGCAAGUCGAACGAGAAGCAGGAGCUUGCUCCUGUGGAAAGUGGCGGACGGGUGAGUAACACGUAGGAAAUCUGCCUUUGGGUGGUGGACAACAGUUGGAAACGACUGCUAAUACCCCAUAUGAGCUUGGUUGCAAUACCAAUCUUGAAAACUCCGGUGCCUAAAGAUGAGCCUGCGUCUGAUUAGCUUGUUGGCGGGGUAAUGGCCCACCAAGGCGACGAUCAGUAGCUGGUUUGAGAGGAUGAUCAGCCACAAUGGGACUGAGACACGGCCCAUACUCCUACGGGAGGCAGCAGUAGGGAAUUUUGUGCAAUGGGGGAAACCCUGACGCAGCAACGCCGCGUGAAUGACGAAGCCCUUCGGGGUGUAAAGUUCUGUCAGUAGGGAAGAAUUUUGACUGUACCUACAAAGGAAGCACCGGCUAACUCCGUGCCAGCCGCCGCGGUAA
Molecule: ribosomal RNA, 465 nt
Filed under: uncultured bacterium
Lineage: Bacteria
Description: partial 16S ribosomal RNA
Rfam family: Bacterial small subunit ribosomal RNA
Source: RNAcentral